UUUUCCACCGGAGCUUGCUCCACCGGAAAAAGAAGAGUGGCGAACGGGUGAGUAACACGUGGGUAACCUGCCCAUCAGAAGGGGAUAACACUUGGAAACAGGUGCUAAUACCGUAUAACAAUCGAAACCGCAUGGUUUUGAUUUGAAAGGCGCUUUCGGGUGUCGCUGAUGGAUGGACCCGCGGUGCAUUAGCUAGUUGGUGAGGUAACGGCUCACCAAGGCCACGAUGCAUAGCCGACCUGAGAGGGUGAUCGGCCACAUUGGGACUGAGACACGGCCCAAACUCCUACGGGAGGCAGCAGUAGGGAAUCUUCGGCAAUGGACGAAAGUCUGACCGAGCAACGCCGCGUGAGUGAAGAAGGUUUUCGGAUCGUAAAACUCUGUUGUUAGAGAAGAACAAGGAUGAGAGUAACUGUUCAUCCCUUGACGGUAUCUAACCAGAAAGCCACGGCUAACUACGUGCCAGCAGCCGCGGUAAUACGUAGGUGGCAAGCGUUGUCCGGAUUUAUUGGGCGUAAAGCGAGCGCAGGCGGUUUCUUAAGUCUGGUGUGAAAGCCCCCGGCUCAACCGGGGAGGGUCAUUGGAAACUGGGAGACUUGAGUGCAGAAGAGGAGAGUGGAAUUCCAUGUGUAGCGGUGAAAUGCGUAGAUAUAUGGAGGAACACCAGUGGCGAAGGCGGCUCUCUGGUCUGUAACUGACGCUGAGGCUCGAAAGCGUGGGGAGCAAACAGGAUUAGAUACCCUGGUAGUCCACGCCGUAAACGAUGAGUGCUAAGUGUUGGAGGGUUUCCGCCCUUCAGUGCUGCAGCU
Molecule: ribosomal RNA, 809 nt
Filed under: uncultured bacterium
Lineage: Bacteria
Description: SSU rRNA
Rfam family: Bacterial small subunit ribosomal RNA
Source: RNAcentral